Molecule: long non-coding RNA, 1089 nt
Organism: Talpa occidentalis (Iberian mole)
Lineage: Eukaryota; Metazoa; Chordata; Mammalia; Eulipotyphla; Talpidae
Exons: 4
Source: RefSeq, a predicted model, not a curated record
GAUAAAAGAAUCUGCAUCUAACAUUUCCUUCUAAUAACUAUAUAUUCCUCUUUGUUGCCUCAAACCUAGUUCUUGAAUGGUAAUUCUUCUUUUCAGGGCUCUCAUGCCUAAUUCUUAACCUGCAUUUCAAGAACUUAAACCACAGUAAUUUUGUCCUUCUUUGGGUGUGUGAAAAUACCUGCUCCUGCCUGCCUUCUUAUUUCAGGAAUGACUUCUCCUUUUCAAAUCUGAGUUCUCUUUACACUGAGAUUGUUCUUUGUACAAUCUGUCUAUCCUUUGCCGCAGGAAUGAUGUUGUUUUAUGCUGGUGUCUUUGACAGAAAGAGCCAUUUACAUUUUGGGGAUUAACCUGAACAUAGAAUCUUUCCUGUGUUGCACCAUUAAACAAUCUCCUAGCAACAGUACUUUAGAAGCAUUAUUUUCCAAUUUACUUACUCACUGAGUCAUUAAGGCAAAAUGAAGACGUCAUCAUGAGUUUUCAGUACAUUGUUCUUCCUCACCAGAUUUAAGGGGUCUGAAUAUAGAGAUUCCUUGAGUCUGGGCAACACUGAAGGACUUCAAAACCUGGAAGAGGAGAACUGAAGCACCAAUGGGGAGGGGACAGAACUAAGAGGAAAGGAAACACAAUGAUCCGUGGAGAUGGAAUAUGGCCCCAUCUACAUUGAUGUAAAUGGCAAGAGAUCAUCCCGUUGUGUAUACCUUCCUAAUCCAUUCAUCUGUGUUGGGCACUUAGGCUGUUUCCUACCUAUGUGAAUAGUGCUACAAUGAACAUACAGGUACGGUGUUGGGAAAGGAUUCAGAAGAAGAAGAAAAUUUUGAAGUCCCACUGGUGUCAAACUGUUAAGUUCUCUGCAGUCAAAUAUACUAACUAUAAAUGUCUCCAAUUGCAAAAUUCAAGUCCUCUUUGAACAAUCUGCAUGUUAAGAAGAUCUCUAAAAUUAUUUUCUAAAUGUAGUCAUAUUGAGGUCAGCAUGUUCAGAUACAAAGAUUGACCAUGUCAUACAUGAGAAACUAUAAAAUUUCAGUGUUCAUGAACUUGAAGAGUUAUAUGGAUGUGCUCGUGGCUAGCAGAAAUUACUAAAGUGAGAAG